CAUUUUCUCUUCUCUUGUCUUGUAAUGUGAAGAAUGGGUAAUUAAUUGGUAGACUGUGCGAUCCUGAAUAUAGAUGCAAAAGGAACUCCUGAAUAUAGAUGCAAGAGGAACUCAAAAAAAAAAAAAAAAAAAAAAGAGGAGGUAAAAACAGAAGGAUUUGGAGAGAUAGAAAGCAGAAAAAAGGCAGCCCAGGGACCCAGGCGCCUCUGAUCUUAUGUCUCCGCCAUCCUCAAGAUGCUACAUCCAUCUCAUGAUCUAAGAUGACUGCUUUAGCUCCAGCAUCACAACUUUAUUCCAACCGGCAGAAAAGAAGAAAAAGGGCUCAUUCUUUCCUUCUACACUUAUGAACUGCACAGCCACAUCACAAUACAGCCAUGGAGAUAAAACUUUCCUCUCAUGGAGUCAUUAAAGAGUUUAGAGAAAUUAAAUGAGGCCAUUUAUGUGAAAGAACUUUAAUGAUGAACAGCAUCCACCAUACAAAUUAAUUGGCCCCUUCUUAAAAUUACGUGCCAGAUAGAGAAUUUAAAAAGAUCUUGUACAUAGUUAUUACAAUUGUUACUAAACCAAAACUCUGGCAAAAAGGAGGAAAUAAAACACACAGCUUUCUUC
Long non-coding RNA from Symphalangus syndactylus (siamang), 609 nucleotides. RefSeq lists it as uncharacterized. The record is from RefSeq and is a predicted model, not a curated record. Lineage: Eukaryota; Metazoa; Chordata; Mammalia; Primates; Hylobatidae.